GAGACCGAAACAUAAAGACAUAGACAACACGGUCUUCCUCCACUUCUAUACACACUCUUCUGCUUCUUCUUCUCCUGCUGGCUUUCAAGCAACGGACACGGCCGAAAGCAGAAGCCGUGCAGAAAAAAAGAAGAAGAAGAAAAAAGAAAAGAGCUGUGGCCACACAAACAAAUGGAUGUUGUCUCUGUAGCAAUGGCGGUUGGCUCCGCGAGAGCGCCGGAGGGGAAAUUGGGAGACAAAAAGUUAAUGCACUUGACAAUA
Caenorhabditis elegans is the source of this 261-nucleotide non-coding RNA. Lineage: Eukaryota; Metazoa; Nematoda; Chromadorea; Rhabditida; Rhabditidae. The record is from Ensembl.